UAAACAUUGACAGUUAAUAACACCCACUGUCCGCCUGGGAACUACGAGCACCAGCUUAAAACCCAAAGGACUUGGCGGUGCUUUAGACCCACCUAGAGGAGCCUGUUCUAGAACCGAUAAUCCCCGUUAAACCUCACCCUUCCUUGUCAUUUCCGCCUAUAUACCACCGUCGUCAGCUUACCCUGUGAAGGCCCAAUAGUAAGCGCAAUCGGCAAUGCCCAAAACGUCAGGUCGAGGUGUAGCGAAUGGAAGGGGAAGAAAUGGGCUACAUUUACUAACACAGUAAAUACGGAUGAUUACCCUGCAACGAGUAUCUGAAGGAGGAUUUAGCAGUAAGCAAAAAGCAGAGUGUUUUGCUGAAAUUGGC
RNAcentral lists this ribosomal RNA (367 nucleotides) under Chaetodon decussatus (Indian vagabond butterflyfish). RNAcentral describes it as "partial 12S ribosomal RNA". It matches the Rfam family "Bacterial small subunit ribosomal RNA", at positions 803 to 1372 of the family's 1533-position model. Lineage: Eukaryota; Metazoa; Chordata; Actinopteri; Chaetodontiformes; Chaetodontidae. The record is from RNAcentral.